AAAGUGCGAUACGUGGUGCGACCUGCACGAACCUGUGAGUCAUCGAAUCUUUGAACGCAACUUGCGCCCUCGGGCAUGUGUGUUUGAGCCGGUCUUAAAGCAAAAUGAAGCAUCGCUUCGUGCUGGGGGACGACGCGUCGCCCCCGAAACGCGUGUCUGCGGCGCGGCCAGGACGGUGCGACGGGCCCCAGGGCCCGAGCAUUUGGCCGCGCCAACACCACCUGCCGCUCAGCCACACAAGAUCACCCGCUGGACUUAA
Molecule: unclassified non-coding RNA, 259 nt
Filed under: uncultured Geminibasidium
Lineage: Eukaryota; Fungi; Basidiomycota; Geminibasidiomycetes; Geminibasidiales; Geminibasidiaceae
Description: sequence contains ITS1
Rfam family: 5.8S ribosomal RNA (bases 1-93)
Source: RNAcentral